This 459-nucleotide ribosomal RNA is filed under the name uncultured bacterium. RNAcentral's name for it is "partial 16S ribosomal RNA". It matches the Rfam family "Bacterial small subunit ribosomal RNA", at positions 338 to 795 of the family's 1533-position model. The record is from RNAcentral.
CCUACGGGUGGCAGCAGUGAGGAAUAUUGGUCAAUGGACGAGAGUCUGAACCAGCCAAGUAGCGUGAAGGAUGACUGCCCUAUGGGUUGUAAACUUCUUUUAUAUGGGAAUAAAAUGUUCCACGUGUGGGAUUUGUAUGUACCAUAUGAAUAAGGAUCGGCUAACUCCGUGCCAACAGCCGCGGUAAUACGGAGGAUCCGAGCGUUAUCCGGAUUUAUUGGGUUUAAAGGGAGCUGAGGUGGUUUGUUAAGUCAGUUGUGAAAGGUUGCGGCUCAACCGUAAAAUUGCAGUUGAAACUGGCAGUCUUGAGUACAGUAGAGGUGGGCGGAAUUCGUGGUGUAGCGGUGAAAUGCUUAGAUAUCACGAAGAACUCCGAUUGCGAAGGCAGCUCACUGGACUGCAACUGACACUGAGGCUCGAAAGUGUGGGUAUCAAACAGGAUUAGAUACCCUUGUAGUC